AUAACUAGAUGUUGUUUGGACAACUAGGAAAGAGGAUUCAAAGAAAAGAAAGAAGAAAAAUUUGAAGAAAAGGGAGAAGAAAUUCUGCACACAAGUUGAAAAGAAUAUCGGGAAGGAACCCGAGGAAACGAGUCGAGGCUAAGGGACGACUCGCUUGAGAUAAAAGCAAGGAGAAAGCAGCAGAGUGAGCUGCGGAAUUGACAAGAUCUUUUUGAUCCCUUUUUGUACGGGUAUUAUUUUAUACCCUUAUGGUUAUUUUGAUGUAAAUACUGUAAUGUCAUAAGUAUCAAUGUAAAUUGAGC
Molecule: long non-coding RNA, 302 nt
Organism: Hevea brasiliensis (rubber tree)
Lineage: Eukaryota; Viridiplantae; Streptophyta; Magnoliopsida; Malpighiales; Euphorbiaceae
Exons: 3
Source: RefSeq, a predicted model, not a curated record